AACGAACGCUGGCGGCAUGCUUAACACAUGCAAGUCGAACGAGAAAGCUCUUCGGAGCGAGUAGAGUGGCGCGACGGGUGAGUAAUGCAUGGGAACGUACCUUUAGGUUGGGAAUAACCACGGGAAACUGUGGCUAAUGCCGAAUAGUCUCGCAAGAGUAAAGAUGGCCUCUCCUUGGAAGCUAUCGCCUGUAGAUCGGCCCAUGUCCCAUUAGCUAGUUGGUGAGGUAAUGGCCCACCAAGGCUACGAUGGGUAGCUGGUCUGAGAGGAUGAUCAGCCACACUGGGACUGAGACACGGCCCAG
Molecule: ribosomal RNA, 304 nt
Filed under: uncultured bacterium
Lineage: Bacteria
Description: bacterial SSU rRNA
Rfam family: Bacterial small subunit ribosomal RNA
Source: RNAcentral